Peromyscus maniculatus bairdii (prairie deer mouse) is the source of this 135-nucleotide non-coding RNA. The record is from RefSeq and is a predicted model, not a curated record. NCBI's taxonomy places the organism in Eukaryota, Metazoa, Chordata, Mammalia, Rodentia, Cricetidae.
AGUAUCAAAUGAGCCCUAUCUGAAAGCUUCCUUGGCUUAUCUGCUGCUACAAGCCCGGGCAAAAACACAAAGAGAAGGACUUCAGUAUGGGAUAGCUGAGUGAGUUUUGGCCCCGAAGACUUCCCUUCUGGACCA